AUGGGGAGCGUGGGUGACCUGGCCAACUACGCGCAGCUCACGGGGCUGGACGCGGUGCGCCUCAUCGGCCUCAUCGUCAAGGCGGCGGCCACGGCGCGGAUGCACAAGAGCAACUGCCGCCGCUUCGCGCAGCACCUCAAGCUCAUCGGCGGCCUGCUGGAGCAGCUCCGGGUGUCGGAGCUCAAGAAGUACCCGGAGACGCGGGAGCCGCUGGAGCAGCUCGAGGACGCGCUCCGCCGGGGCUACCUGCUCGUCAACUCCUGCCAGGACCGCUCCUACCUCUACCUCCUCGCCAUGGGCUGGAACAUCGUCUACCGGUUCCGCACCGCGCAGACCGAGAUCGACAACUACCUCCGCCUCGUGCCGCUCAUCACGCUCGUCGACAACGCCCGCGUGCGGGAGCGAAUUGAGUACAUUGAAAGGGAUCAAUGUGAAUACUCUCUUGACGAGGAAGACAAAGAGGUCCAUGAAGCUCUGUUAAACCCUGACCCUAGCACAAAUCCUUCGAUAGUGCUCAAGAAGACUCUGUCCUGUUCUUAUCCAAACUUGCCAUUUAACGAAGCCCUUCGAAAGGAAAGUGAGAAGCUCCAGGUGGAGCUUCAAAGAUCACAAAGCAACAUGGAUAUGGCCCAGUGCGAGGUUAUUCAUCACCUGCUUGGAGUUACUAGAACCGUGGAAAGUUCUAUUCCAGACGAAAGUACCGAUGCCAAGGUUGCCAAGAAAACCAAGUCAAAGUGCACAAAAGUUAAUGAAGACAGUGCAAAAUCAUAUGAUGAUGACUCUCCAAAGAAGCAAAAAGAUGCCUAUGUUGCACCGCGGAGUUCUUCACCUGUUCCCUACAACCAUGAUCUGGUCUCGAGUACAGCAUCAUACAGUGAUGAGUGGCAUGCAGAUUUACUUGGUUGCUGUUCAGAGCCAGCUCUGUGUCUGAAGACCUUCUUUUUUCCAUGUGGAACGUUCUCAAGAAUUGCUUCAAUCGCCAAGAACAAGCCCAUGUCUUCCGGAGAAGCCUGCAAUGAUAUUAUGGCGUACUCCCUCAUAUUGUCUUGUUGCUGUUACACUUGCUGUGUAAGGAGAAAGCUUCGUCAAAGGCUAAAUAUUGCGGGAGGGUGUUGUGACGAUUUCCUUUCACAUGUAAUGUGCUGUUGCUGUGCUCUUGUUCAAGAAUGGCGCGAAGUAGAGAUUCGUGGUGCAUACGGAGGGAAGACAAAGAUAACCCCGCCGGCACACCAGUACAUGGAGCACUGA
Molecule: ribosomal RNA, 1248 nt
Filed under: Triticum aestivum (bread wheat)
Lineage: Eukaryota; Viridiplantae; Streptophyta; Magnoliopsida; Poales; Poaceae
Description: partial small subunit ribosomal RNA
Source: RNAcentral